UAGCUCAGCGGCACAGCACCUGCCUGGCAAGCAUGAGGUCCUGAGUUCAAUUCCCAG
RNAcentral lists this transfer RNA (57 nucleotides) under Cavia porcellus (domestic guinea pig). It matches the Rfam family "tRNA", at positions 8 to 63 of the family's 71-position model. From Rfam's summary of the family: Transfer RNA (tRNA) molecules are approximately 80 nucleotides in length. Their secondary structure includes four short double-helical elements and three loops (D, anti-codon, and T loops). Lineage: Eukaryota; Metazoa; Chordata; Mammalia; Rodentia; Caviidae. The record is from Rfam by way of RNAcentral. RNAcentral also lists the same sequence under 1 other name.